GCAGCAGUGGGGAAUUUUGGACAAUGGGCGAAAGCCUGAUCCAGCCAUUCCGCGUGAGUGAAGAAGGCCUUCGGGUUGUAAAGCUCUUUCGCAAGGGAAGAAAACUUAUCCUCUAACAUAGGGUGAGGUUGACGGUACCUUGAUAAGAAGCACCGGCUAACUACGUGCCAGCAGCCGCGGUAAUACGUAGGGUGCGAGCGUUAAUCGGAAUUACUGGGCGUAAAGCGUGCGCAGGCUGUUUUGUAAGUCAGAUGUGAAAUCCCUGAGCUCAACUUAGGAACUGCGUUUGAAACUACAAGACUAGAAUAUGUCAGAGGGGGGUAGAAUUCCACGUGUAGCAGUGAAAUGCGUAGAGAUGUGGAGGAAUACCAAUGGCGAAGGCAGCCCCCUGGGAUAAUAUUGACGCUCAUGCACGAAAGCGUGGGGAGCAAACAGGAUUAGAUACCCUGGUAGUCCACGCCCUAAACGAUGUCUACUAGUUGGUGGUGGGAGUAAAAUCCAUGAGUAACGCAGCUUACGCCUGAAGUAAACCCGCCUUGGGGAAGUACGGUCGCAAAGAAUAAAACUCAAAAGGAAUUGGCCGGGGAAUCACUAAGUGAAUU
This 602-nucleotide ribosomal RNA is filed under the name uncultured Methylophilus sp. RNAcentral's name for it is "bacterial SSU rRNA". It matches the Rfam family "Bacterial small subunit ribosomal RNA", at positions 348 to 935 of the family's 1533-position model. Lineage: Bacteria; Pseudomonadati; Pseudomonadota; Betaproteobacteria; Nitrosomonadales; Methylophilaceae. The record is from RNAcentral.